Molecule: ribosomal RNA, 547 nt
Filed under: Staphylococcus sp. HMSC065D11
Lineage: Bacteria; Bacillati; Bacillota; Bacilli; Caryophanales; Staphylococcaceae
Description: bacterial SSU rRNA
Rfam family: Bacterial small subunit ribosomal RNA
Source: RNAcentral
ACCCCUCUAGAGAUAGAGUUUUCCCCUUCGGGGGACAGAGUGACAGGUGGUGCAUGGUUGUCGUCAGCUCGUGUCGUGAGAUGUUGGGUUAAGUCCCGCAACGAGCGCAACCCUUAAGCUUAGUUGCCAUCAUUAAGUUGGGCACUCUAAGUUGACUGCCGGUGACAAACCGGAGGAAGGUGGGGAUGACGUCAAAUCAUCAUGCCCCUUAUGAUUUGGGCUACACACGUGCUACAAUGGACAAUACAAAGGGUAGCGAAACCGCGAGGUCAAGCAAAUCCCAUAAAGUUGUUCUCAGUUCGGAUUGUAGUCUGCAACUCGACUAUAUGAAGCUGGAAUCGCUAGUAAUCGUAGAUCAGCAUGCUACGGUGAAUACGUUCCCGGGUCUUGUACACACCGCCCGUCACACCACGAGAGUUUGUAACACCCGAAGCCGGUGGAGUAACCAUUUGGAGCUAGCCGUCGAAGGUGGGACAAAUGAUUGGGGUGAAGUCGUAACAAGGUAGCCGUAUCGGAAGGUGCGGCUGGAUCACCUCCUUUCUAAGGA